RNAcentral lists this transfer RNA (87 nucleotides) under Fidelibacterota bacterium. RNAcentral's name for it is "Candidatus Marinimicrobia bacterium tRNA-Leu". It matches the Rfam family "tRNA". Rfam says of the family: Transfer RNA (tRNA) molecules are approximately 80 nucleotides in length. The record is from RNAcentral. Lineage: Bacteria; Pseudomonadati; Fidelibacterota.
GCCGAGAUGAUGAAAUUGGUAGACGUGCCGGAUUCAAAAUCCGGUGUCCCUUGGGACGUGUGGGUUCGACUCCCACUCUCGGCACAA